GAGUGGAGCUCCUUGAAGUCCAAUAGAGGUUCUUGCUGGGUAGAUUAAGCUGCUAAGCUAUGGAUCCACAGUCCUAUCUAUCAAC
This 85-nucleotide unclassified non-coding RNA is filed under the name Populus trichocarpa (black cottonwood). Its description in RNAcentral is "precursor microRNA ptr-MIR159c". The record is from RNAcentral. Lineage: Eukaryota; Viridiplantae; Streptophyta; Magnoliopsida; Malpighiales; Salicaceae.